Triplophysa rosa is the source of this 393-nucleotide long non-coding RNA. RefSeq lists it as uncharacterized. The transcript has 3 exons. The record is from RefSeq and is a predicted model, not a curated record. NCBI's taxonomy places the organism in Eukaryota, Metazoa, Chordata, Actinopteri, Cypriniformes, Nemacheilidae.
GCGAGCACCACUUGCUUUUUUGAGGUGCUUACUGACUGGAACAAAGUUCCUCUGACAGGAAAUUUUGUUUUAUCAGCAGCGGGAUCAUCACAAAGAUAGGAAAGUUUCCUCUGACAAAACAAUUCAUUCAGCACUGGUGGCUGUUAAGAGCAGAGUGACCAUGGCAACCGGAAUAUGCACUGAAGACUGAAAACAGCAAAAUAAUGACAAAAGACCAACAACGUCACAUCAUUUCAAAGUGUUUUUGUUAAUAUUUAUCUGUAAAUUAUUUUGUAGCAUGCUUAAAUCAUAUGUCAUGUACACUGUCUGUAUGCUGUUUUAUAACUAUUAUAUAGCUAUUAUGUAUUUAAAUAGCUGUUAUACAAAUUACUGUUAAUUGAUAUAAACCUGUUC